AUACGGAGGGUGCAAGCGUUACUCGGAAUCACUGGGCGUAAAGCGCGCGCAGGCGGGCUGAUAAGUUGGAUGUGAAAGCCUACGGCUCAACCGUAGAACUGCAUCCAAAACUGUCAGUCUAGAGUCUGGGAGGGGAAGAUGGAAUUAGUUGUGUAGGGGUAAAAUCCGUAGAGAUAGCUAGGAAUACCAAAAGCGAAGGCGAUCUUCUGGAACAGUACUGACGCUGAGGCGCGAAAGCGUGGGGAGCAAACAGGAUUAGAAACCCUAGUAGUCC
This 274-nucleotide ribosomal RNA is filed under the name uncultured bacterium. Its description in RNAcentral is "partial 16S ribosomal RNA". It matches the Rfam family "Bacterial small subunit ribosomal RNA", at positions 523 to 796 of the family's 1533-position model. The record is from RNAcentral.